AGCUCCAAUAGCGUAUAUUAAAGUUGUUGCAGUUAAAAGCUCGUAGUCGGAUUUCAGGGCAGGGCGACCGGUCUGCCGAUGGGUAUGCACUGGUCGACUUGUCCUUCCUUCUGGAGACCGUGCCUACUCUUAACUGAGCGGGGACGGGAAACAGAUCGUUUACUUUGAAAAAAAUCAGAGUGUUUAAAGCAGGCCAAGAUUGCUCUUGCAUGGAUUAGCAUGGGAUAAUGAAAUAGGACUUUGGUGCUAUUUUGUUGGUUUCGAACACCGAAGUAAUGAUUAAUAGGGAUAGUCAGGGGCACUCGUAUUCCGUCGAGAGAGGUGAAAUUCUCAGACCAAUGGAAGACGAACUACUGCGAAAGCAUUUGCCAGGGAUGUUUUCA
Molecule: ribosomal RNA, 383 nt
Filed under: uncultured eukaryote
Lineage: Eukaryota
Description: SSU rRNA
Rfam family: Eukaryotic small subunit ribosomal RNA
Source: RNAcentral